RNAcentral lists this ribosomal RNA (464 nucleotides) under uncultured bacterium. RNAcentral describes it as "partial 16S ribosomal RNA". It matches the Rfam family "Bacterial small subunit ribosomal RNA", at positions 28 to 507 of the family's 1533-position model. The record is from RNAcentral.
GACGAACGCUGGCGGCGUGCUUAACACAUGCCAGUCGAACGGAAAGGCCCUGCUUGCAGGGUACUCGAGUGGCGAACGGGUGAGUAACACGUGGGUGAUCUGCCCUGCACUUCGGGAUAAGCCUGGGAAACUGGGUCUAAUACCGGAUAGGAGCCAUUUUUAGUGUGAUGGUUGGAAAGUUUUUUCGGUGUAGGAUGAGCUCGCGGCCUAUCAGCUUGUUGGUGGGGUAAUGGCCUACCAAGGCGGCGACGGGUAGCCGGCCUGAGAGGGUGGACGGCCACAUUGGGACUGAGAUACAGCCCAGACUCCUACGGGAGGCAGCAGUGGGGAAUAUUGCACAAUGGGCGCAAGCCUGAUGCAGCGACGCCGCGUGGGGGAUGACGGCCUUCGGGUUGUAAACUCCUUUCGCUAGGGACGAAGCUUUUGUGACGGUACCUAGAUAAGAAGCACCGGCUAACUACGUG